The sequence is an unclassified non-coding RNA, 201 nucleotides long. The stretch from base 1 to 46 matches the Rfam family "Eukaryotic small subunit ribosomal RNA", at positions 1786 to 1831 of the family's 1831-position model.
AAGUCGUAACAAGGUUUCCGUAGGUGAACCUGCGGAAGGAUCAUUAUAAAAUUUUCAUAUAUUAAAUUUAUUUAAUAUAUAAAAUUAUAUACAAAAUGUAUUCAAAACCCACACUCUUUAUAACCAUAAAAAAAAAAAUAUAUUAUAUAUUUUUAUAAUAUAAUAAAAAAACAACUUUCAACAACGGAUCUCUUGGCUCUC